UUCCAGCACCCCGAGUGGUCGGGACGAUUAUUGGGCCUAAAGCAUCCGUAGCCGGUUCUGCAAGUCCCCCGUUAAAUCCAGCUGCUCAACAGAUGGGCCGCGGAGGAUACUACAGAGCUAGGAGGCAGGAGAGGCAAGCGGUACUCAGUGGGUAGGGGUAAAAUCCGUUGAUCCAUUGAAGACCACCAGUGGCGAAGGCGGCUUGCCAGAACGCGCUCGACGGUGAGGGAUGAAAGCUGGGGGAGCAAACCGG
RNAcentral lists this ribosomal RNA (253 nucleotides) under uncultured bacterium. Its description in RNAcentral is "partial 16S ribosomal RNA". It matches the Rfam family "Archaeal small subunit ribosomal RNA", at positions 474 to 727 of the family's 1478-position model. The record is from RNAcentral.